AACGCACCUUGCGCUCCUUGGUAUUCCGAGGAGCAUGCCUGUUUGAGUGUCAUUAAUAUAUAUAUAUCAACCUUCUCUUUUUGAGUGGUUUGGAUGUGGGGGUUUGCUGGCCUUGUAAAGGGUUCAGCUCCCCUGAAAUGCAUUAGCAGAACAACCCUGUUCAUUGGUGUGAUAACUAUCUACGCUAUUGAAUGUAAGGGGGCAGUUCAGCUUUCUAACAGUCCUCGGACAAUUCAUCAUUAAUGUGACCUCAAAUCAGGUAGGACUACCCGCUGAACUUAA
RNAcentral lists this unclassified non-coding RNA (282 nucleotides) under uncultured Cortinarius. RNAcentral's name for it is "sequence contains ITS2". The stretch from base 1 to 52 matches the Rfam family "5.8S ribosomal RNA", at positions 103 to 154 of the family's 154-position model. Lineage: Eukaryota; Fungi; Basidiomycota; Agaricomycetes; Agaricales; Cortinariaceae. The record is from RNAcentral.